GUGGGCGUAGCUCAGUUGGUUAGAGCGCCAGGUUGUGGUCCUGGAAGUCGUGGGUUCGAUUCCCAUCGUCCACCCCA
This 77-nucleotide transfer RNA is filed under the name Myxococcota bacterium. Its description in RNAcentral is "tRNA-His". It matches the Rfam family "tRNA". From Rfam's summary of the family: Transfer RNA (tRNA) molecules are approximately 80 nucleotides in length. Their secondary structure includes four short double-helical elements and three loops (D, anti-codon, and T loops). Further hydrogen bonds mediate the characteristic L-shaped molecular structure. tRNAs have two regions of fundamental functional importance: the anti-codon, which is responsible for specific mRNA codon recognition, and the 3' end, to which the tRNAs corresponding amino acid is attached (by aminoacyl-tRNA synthetases). tRNAs cope with the degeneracy of the genetic code in two manners: having more than one tRNA (with a specific anti-codon) for a particular amino acid; and 'wobble' base-pairing, i.e. permitting non-standard base-pairing at the 3rd anti-codon position. Lineage: Bacteria; Pseudomonadati; Myxococcota. The record is from RNAcentral.